Molecule: ribosomal RNA, 523 nt
Filed under: Bifidobacterium breve
Lineage: Bacteria; Bacillati; Actinomycetota; Actinomycetes; Bifidobacteriales; Bifidobacteriaceae
Description: bacterial SSU rRNA
Rfam family: Bacterial small subunit ribosomal RNA
Source: RNAcentral
GUGGUAAUGCCGGAUGCUCCAUCACAUCGCAUGGUGUGUUGGGAAAGCCUUUGCGGCAUGGGAUGGGGUCGCGUCCUAUCAGCUUGAUGGCGGGGUAACGGCCCACCAUGGCUUCGACGGGUAGCCGGCCUGAGAGGGCGACCGGCCACAUUGGGACUGAGAUACGGCCCAGACUCCUACGGGAGGCAGCAGUGGGGAAUAUUGCACAAUGGGCGCAAGCCUGAUGCAGCGACGCCGCGUGAGGGAUGGAGGCCUUCGGGUUGUAAACCUCUUUUGUUAGGGAGCAAGGCAUUUUGUGUUGAGUGUACCUUUCGAAUAAGCACCGGCUAACUACGUGCCAGCAGCCGCGGUAAUACGUAGGGUGCAAGCGUUAUCCGGAAUUAUUGGGCGUAAAGGGCUCGUAGGCGGUUCGUCGCGUCCGGUGUGAAAGUCCAUCGCUUAACGGUGGAUCCGCGCCGGGUACGGGCGGGCUUGAGUGCGGUAGGGGAGACUGGAAUUCCCGGUGUAACGGUGGAAUGUGUAG